GCCGGGCGCGGUGGCGCGGGCCUGUAAUCCCAGCUACUCAGAAGGCUGGGCCCGGAGGAUCGCUUGAGUCCAGGAGUUCUGGGCUGCAGUGCGCUAUGCCGAUCGGGUGUCCGCACUAAGUUCGGCAUCAAUAUGGUGACCUCCCGGGAGUGGGGAAACACCAGGUUGCCUAAGGAGGGGUGAACCGGCCCAGGUCGGAAACGGAGCAGGUCAAAAACUCACUAGAAGGUGCCUUUUCACUUUGAAUGAGCUAUAAUUCCUAUGUGUUUUGUGUAUUUCCU
This is an unclassified non-coding RNA of Dipodomys ordii (Ord's kangaroo rat), 281 nucleotides long. It matches the Rfam family "Metazoan signal recognition particle RNA". Rfam says of the family: The signal recognition particle (SRP) is a universally conserved ribonucleoprotein. It is involved in the co-translational targeting of proteins to membranes. The record is from Ensembl. Lineage: Eukaryota; Metazoa; Chordata; Mammalia; Rodentia; Heteromyidae.